This is a long non-coding RNA of Triticum dicoccoides, 240 nucleotides long. RefSeq lists it as uncharacterized. Lineage: Eukaryota; Viridiplantae; Streptophyta; Magnoliopsida; Poales; Poaceae. The record is from RefSeq and is a predicted model, not a curated record. The transcript is spliced from 3 exons.
AGGUUAUCCACGAGGUGUCUCAAGGUGAACUCCAUGGUACCUGAUCAAGUGGCUGCAGGGAAUGGUGUAUGCUCACAAGAACAAUUUGUUUCACUCAGACAAGAAUCCCACGAACCAUAAUGUGGCCUUUAAGUUUCAGCUUUAGGAUGCUUUUUGGAAUCGACUCAUGAAGAUGAUGGCUAGCCUGCACGAACAUUUGGAGCUUCUGCAUAAAUGAUGCAGAUAGUCUACAAGAAAGGU